GAAUAGCUCAGUCCAUAGAGCAUGAGACUCUUAAUCUCAGUGUUGUGGGUUCGAGCCCUAUGUUGGGCA
Molecule: non-coding RNA, 69 nt
Organism: Podarcis lilfordi (Lilford's wall lizard)
Lineage: Eukaryota; Metazoa; Chordata; Lepidosauria; Squamata; Lacertidae
Source: the annotation of a GenBank genome assembly